Ochotona princeps (American pika) is the source of this 600-nucleotide long non-coding RNA. RefSeq lists it as uncharacterized. The record is from RefSeq and is a predicted model, not a curated record. The transcript is spliced from 4 exons. NCBI's taxonomy places the organism in Eukaryota, Metazoa, Chordata, Mammalia, Lagomorpha, Ochotonidae.
UUGUCCCAGAUGAGAUUUGGAAGACUGAGAAACACAGCUUCAGGAAAAAGUUCUGUCUUGUUCAUUACCAUGUCUCAACAGCCUAAACCUUGGUAUUUAGAUUUAAAAUUAUACUGAAUUAUUUGUAUUCUGCCUUCUGAAAAUUCUGCAUAUACUUCUAAGUGGCUGAAAGAUUAAACCAUUGCUUGCUCGUGCCAAGUUACAGAGAGACAGAAGAGAUGAAGAUUUUCCAUUCCUGGGUCACUCCUCAGUGGCCACAACAGCUGGAGCUACGCCAAGCCAAAGAGCCCAUAUGUGAGUGAGAAGAGAGAACAAAUAAUCUCAGAUGGUGUUAAUGCAAUGAAGGAAAAUUUACAAAUGGGGACAAGAAGAGAUGAGACUACAGGUACAUCAGAGACAAUAUCAUUAUCUUAGUAUCUUACCUAUGACACGACUUGUAAGAAUUUCUUUGUCAGAAGAACCAAUUUCUCUUCUAAGAUAGUUUGUGGGAAUUCUACCUGCUGCAGCAGCCUUCUGUCUGUAAUCAACCUAAAAGAGCAAUGAAAAAAUGAAUUUCAUAUGAUUCUUUCUAUCACAAACUAGAAUUGAAGAACUGCUAUA